AUGUCUCGGGCACUUUUGGAGACAGGUAACACCCAAACACCACGGUUAGCCAAACAGCUCUUCAGACAUCACGCAAGUUUGGUAGCCCUGGGAGGGUCCCAUGGAGCCCUGUGCCACCAACAUGCCAGGAAGAAGCCAGUGGAUAGCCAGCUGCUUUGCAUUAUUCAGGUGGAAGAAGGAACAAAGUCAUUUUGGUCUGGAAUACAGUGGGAGCUGCAGGAGCAGGGACAGCACACUGCUUCAGCCUCAGUCAUGACGUCCCUGAGAGGUAAUACUUGUGAGAAGCAGGAAGGUGUGAGGGAAUCAUACGCCCACACCAGACAAACUCACCUCCCUGUCAUCAUGUGCUCACUGGCCACGACUGGAAUGAGCACGUCACGUGCAGGAGAAAUCAAGGGGAAUACAUCAUCUAGUGCACACAGUGAGGAGAAACCAGAACAAACCUCCCCUCUUGCCUCUCCUACAUCAUCUUGGACUUACAAAAGAGGCUCACUUCUCCCUGGCUGGGGCUGCCAGCACUUUGCUUCAAGGUAG
This 534-nucleotide long non-coding RNA is filed under the name Numida meleagris (helmeted guineafowl). Its description in RNAcentral is "lncRNA (ENSNMEG00000012886.1)". The record is from RNAcentral. Lineage: Eukaryota; Metazoa; Chordata; Aves; Galliformes; Numididae.